RNAcentral lists this ribosomal RNA (20 nucleotides) under Fusarium avenaceum. RNAcentral's name for it is "partial 18S ribosomal RNA". The record is from RNAcentral. Lineage: Eukaryota; Fungi; Ascomycota; Sordariomycetes; Hypocreales; Nectriaceae.
CUGGAGGAGGAGGAACAUUA